RNAcentral lists this transfer RNA (73 nucleotides) under Deltaproteobacteria bacterium. Its description in RNAcentral is "tRNA-Lys". It matches the Rfam family "tRNA". Rfam says of the family: Transfer RNA (tRNA) molecules are approximately 80 nucleotides in length. RNAcentral also lists the same sequence under 1 other name. The record is from RNAcentral. Lineage: Bacteria; Pseudomonadati; Myxococcota; Myxococcia.
GGGCCGGUAGCUCAGCUGGUAGAGCAGCGGACUUUUAAUCCGUUGGUCGCGGGUUCGAAUCCCGCCCGGCCCA